GCAGUAAAAUUGGAUAUGAUGAAGGCAUAUGACAGGGUUGAGUGGAUUUUCCUUCAACAAAUGCUAGCACGCUUUGGUUUUGACAAUGCUUGGAUUUCCAUGAUAAUGAGGUGUGUGACGUCUACCAAUUUUGUGGUGAAAUUGAAUGGGGGCUUAUCCAGGAUGUUCACUCCAUCACGUGGAUUGCGGCAGGGGGAUCCGUUGUCCCCGUAUCUGUUCUUGUUUUGUGUCGAAGGUUUUUCUGCGCUACUAAAGAAAGCCCAAGAAGAUCAUCAAAUUAAAGGAGUGUCAUUUGGGUACACUGGCCCCCAGAUAACACAUCUCCUAUUUGCUGACGAUAGUAUUGUCUUCCUUCAGGGCUCUGUCGAUAAUUUUCAAGCGCUGAAGGAGAUCUUGGGUGUCUACGAGGAGGCUUCAGGUCAGAAAGUGAAUCUACAAAAAUCUUCGGUUUUCUUUGGCAAUGGAUGUCAGCAGGAGCUCAAGGACUCCCUAAAGGAGACCAUUGGGAUCGGGUCUGAGGCAUUGAGUGAGCGAUAUUUGGGUCUCCCAACGGUCGUUGGGAGGGCAAAGGAUGGAUCAUUUCAAUAUGUUGUGGAGAGCUCAAAGAAAAAAGUUACAUGUUGGAAGGGGCAGGGAUUGUCUAAGAAAGCACGAGAAGUACUUGUCAAAUCGGGGCUCCAAUCUACUCCAACGUUUACCAUGAGUUGUUUUCUCCUCUCAAAGAAGAUGUGUCGGAACCUGACUUCUAUCUCU
RNAcentral lists this ribosomal RNA (753 nucleotides) under Triticum aestivum (bread wheat). RNAcentral describes it as "partial small subunit ribosomal RNA". Lineage: Eukaryota; Viridiplantae; Streptophyta; Magnoliopsida; Poales; Poaceae. The record is from RNAcentral.